GCUCAGGACGAACGCUGGCGGCGUGCCUAAUACAUGCAAGUAGAACGCUGAAGAGAGGAGCUUGCUCUUCUUGGAUGAGUUGCGAACGGGUGAGUAACGCGUAGGUAACCUGCCUUGUAGCGGGGGAUAACUAUUGGAAACGAUAGCUAAUACCGCAUAACGAUGGAUGACACAUGUCAUUUAUUUGAAAGGGGCAAUUGCUCCACUACAAGAUGGACCUGCGUUGUAUUAGCUAGUAGGUGAGGUAAUGGCUCACCUAGGCGACGAUACAUAGCCGACCUGAGAGGGUGAUCGGCCACACUGGGACUGAGACACGGCCCAGACUCCUACGGGAGGCAGCAGUAGGGAAUCUUCGGCAAUGGGGGCAACCCUGACCGAGCAACGCCGCGUGAGUGAAGAAGGUUUUCGGAUCGUAAAGCUCUGUUGUAAGUCAAGAACGGGUGUGAGAGUGGAAAGUUCACACUAUGACGGUAGCUUACCAGAAAGGGACGGCUAACUACGUGCCAGCAGCCGCGGUAAUACGUAGGUCCCGAGCGUUGUCCGGAUUUAUUGGGCGUAAAGCGAGCGCAGGCGGUUUGAUAAGUCUGAAGUUAAAGGCUGUGGCUCAACCAUAGUUCGCUUUGGAAACUGUCAAACUUGAGUGCAGAAGGGGAGAGUGGAAUUCCAUGUGUAGCGGUGAAAUGCGUAGAUAUAUGGAGGAACACCGGUGGCGAAAGCGGCUCUCUGGUCUGUAACUGACGCUGAGGCUCGAAAAGCGGGGGGAGCGAACAGGAUUAGAUACCCUGGUAGUCCACGCCGUAAACGAUGAGUGAUAGGUGUUGGAUCCUUUCCGGGAUUCAGUGCCGCAGCUAACGCAUUAAGCACUCCGCAUGGGGAGUACGACCGCAAGGUUGAAACUCAAAGGAAUUGACGGGGGCCCGCACAAGCGGUGGAGCAUGUGGUUUAAUUCGAAGCAACGCGAAGAACCUUACCAGGUCUUGACAUCCCGAUGCUAUUUCUAGAGAUAGAAAGUUACUUCGGUACAUCGGUGACAGGUGGUGCAUGGUUGUCGUCAGCUCGUGUCGUGAGAUGUUGGGUUAAGUCCCGCAACGAGCGCAACCCCUAUUGUUAGUUGCCAUCAUUCAGUUGGGCACUCUAGCGAGACUGCCGGUAAUAAACCGGAGGAAGGUGGGGAUGACGUCAAAUCAUCAUGCCCCUUAUGACCUGGGCUACACACGUGCUACAAUGGUUGGUACAACGAGUUGCGAGUCGGUGACGGCGAGCUAAUCUCUUAAAGCCAAUCUCAGUUCGGAUUGUAGGCUGCAACUCGCCUACAUGAAGUCGGAAUCGCUAGUAAUCGCGGAUCAGCACGCCGCGGUGAAUACGUUCCCGGGCCUUGUACACACCGCCCGUCACACCACGAGAGUUUGUAACACCCGAAGUCGGUGAGGUAACCUUUUGGAGCCAGCCGCCUAAGGUGGGACAGAUG
RNAcentral lists this ribosomal RNA (1468 nucleotides) under uncultured organism. RNAcentral's name for it is "SSU rRNA". It matches the Rfam family "Bacterial small subunit ribosomal RNA". The record is from RNAcentral.